GAAUAUUAGUCAAUGCUCGAAAGAGUGAACUAGCUAACUGAAAUCAAUUAUAAUAAUUGAUAACAUAAGGGAAAAUAAUGAUAUUACCUUAUUAUUAGUGUCGUCCAAAACUGGUGCCAGAAGACUCGGUAAGGCCAGAGACACAAACGUUAAUCGUCUUAAUCAGGCGUAAAGGGUUUGUAGGCGGCUUUAAAAUUUACUUAAAAAAAUAUUAAGUAAAGAAUAAAAGCUAGAAUCAAAUAGAGGAUAUAUGAAAGAAUGCUUAGAGUAGGUCUGAUAUCCUUAGAUACUAAGUAGAAUAUUAAAGGCGAAAGCUUUUUUCCAUUAAUGAUUGACGCUCAGAAACGAAGGUGAGGAUAGGAAAUAGGAUUAGAUACCCAGAAUACCCCUCUCUGUCAACGAUGAAUGGUAGUUAUUAGUACAAAUUAUUAAUGGCAAUGUUAACACGAUAACCAUUCCGCCUUGUGAGUACAACUGCAAAGUUGAAAACAAAAAAAUUAGUCGGUUUCGGAGCAAACGAAGUGAAGCAUGUUAUUUAAUUC
Molecule: ribosomal RNA, 542 nt
Filed under: Russula carpini
Lineage: Eukaryota; Fungi; Basidiomycota; Agaricomycetes; Russulales; Russulaceae
Description: mitochondrial SSU rRNA
Rfam family: Bacterial small subunit ribosomal RNA
Source: RNAcentral